This 763-nucleotide non-coding RNA is filed under the name Dipsastraea pallida. Its description in RNAcentral is "sequence contains partial 18S rRNA gene, ITS1, 5.8S rRNA gene, ITS2 and partial 28S rRNA gene". The stretch from base 351 to 504 matches the Rfam family "5.8S ribosomal RNA". Lineage: Eukaryota; Metazoa; Cnidaria; Anthozoa; Scleractinia; Merulinidae. The record is from RNAcentral.
GUUUAGUGAGGCUUCCUGACUGGCGCCGAUACUCUGGCAACAGAGCGUCGGAUGCCGGAAAGUUGGUCAAACUUGAUCAUUUAGAGGAAGUAAAAGUCGUAACAAGGUUUCCGUAGGUGAACCUGCGGAAGGAUCAUUACCGAUACAACAAGCUAACAACUGUGUUGUCUGCUGUGUGAACCGUACCCAACCUUAUUCAGGGGUCGGCCCGGGGGGCCGUUAAAUGGCGAUCGGACGCGAAGUCUCGCGGCCGCUUCGCCUGCCCCGCCUUGGUUUUUUUUCAACAUACGUGUCUUGUCUGAUGUCUGUCGAGGCGUCCGCCUCGUCAAGUAGAAAAAAAAGCGAGAGACAACUUUUGACGGUGGAUCUCUUGGCUCACGCAUCGAUGAAGAACGCAGCCAGCUGCGAUAAGUAGUGUGAAUUGCAGAAUUCAGUGAAUCAUCGAAUCUUUGAACGCAAAUGGCGCUCUUGGGUUCUCCCAGGAGCAUGUCUGUCUGAGUGUCGGAUUGUCAUCCAUCGCGGGUGCGCGCUCCAGUGCGCGCGCCGGCGGCGUUGAGGCGUCACGGCCUUUACAAAAAUCGGCCGUGUCCCUCGAAGGGCAGAGAGACUCGCUGUGGUCCGGGGCUCGUUCCCGCAGCGCAGCAGCGGAGGCCAAAAGUGUCAGCACUCCUUCGCGCGCUGCCGGGACCCCGCCGCGCCCGAGUCGUGUAGGCGAAAAGAAUGGUCCGGCCAGGGCCAACCUCUUGACCUCAGAUCAGGCAAG